RNAcentral lists this transfer RNA (70 nucleotides) under Cavia porcellus (domestic guinea pig). It matches the Rfam family "tRNA". Rfam says of the family: Transfer RNA (tRNA) molecules are approximately 80 nucleotides in length. Their secondary structure includes four short double-helical elements and three loops (D, anti-codon, and T loops). Lineage: Eukaryota; Metazoa; Chordata; Mammalia; Rodentia; Caviidae. The record is from Rfam by way of RNAcentral.
GGGGAUUUAGCUCAGUGGCGUAAGCACCUGCCUUGCAAGCAGGUGGUCGUGAGUUCGAUCUCUGGCACCA